This 372-nucleotide ribosomal RNA is filed under the name uncultured organism. RNAcentral describes it as "bacterial SSU rRNA". It matches the Rfam family "Bacterial small subunit ribosomal RNA", at positions 526 to 896 of the family's 1533-position model. The record is from RNAcentral.
CGAAGGUCCCGAGCGUUGUUCGGAAUCACUGGGCGUAAAGGGAGCGUAGGCGGCGCGGUAAGUCAGAUGUGAAAUCCCGGGGCUCAACCCCGGAACUGCAUCCGAUACUGCCGUGCUAGAGGACUGGAGAGGCAACUGGAAUUCUCGGUGUAGCAGUGAAAUGCGUGGAUAUCGAGAGGAACACUCGUGGCGAAAGCGAGUUGCUGGACAGUAUCUGACGCUGAGGCUCGAAGGCCAGGGUAGCGAAAGGGAUUAGAUACCCCUGUAGUCCUGGCAGUAAACGGUGCACGCUUGGUGUGAGGGGAAUCGACCCCCCUUGUGCCGGAGCUAACGCGUUAAGCGUGCCGCCUGGGAAGUACGGUCGCAAGACUA